Molecule: long non-coding RNA, 624 nt
Organism: Cyprinus carpio carpio
Lineage: Eukaryota; Metazoa; Chordata; Actinopteri; Cypriniformes; Cyprinidae
Source: Ensembl
AUGUGCAAAAAUCAUGGCUGCUGCAAUAACAGCUGCACGCUAAAUCUUAAUGACAUUGCUGUGUGUCUGCCUGAAACAAGAGUAAGCAUCAAUGGAUUAACUGAAUUUAAUAGGGUUUGCAGGUAUUUAUGCUACCCAAGCAAAAAAGGUUCUCAAGAUUACAAUGCUGAGGAAAAGGAUAUUACUGAUAUGCUUCUGGAAAAAUUCAGCACACUGAAAUAUUUUGAUUCUCUGAUUAUCAACAGUUACAGGAGCGGCAGCGUGAUUGUAGAUUAUACGGUGCAGUUAAUGAGUUCAGUUACAAUUGAUGAGUUGGAAAAUUUUACCCAAACACUGCCUAAUUCUGUUCUGGUAACAACAGGCCUCAUCACUAUUAACGGUCCUCAGAAGGCAAUUGACAUCGGCUCCUCUGUAAGUAUAACUUGUAAUCCACCACAAGAGCUGGGAGAGGUAAAGUGGUUCUUAACAGAUAGGCAGAACAAAACAACAGAGAUCACAAUAGGAAAAGAGGCCGCCUUGAAGAAGAUCAAGUUGAUGGACAUUGUUGAACUGUAUGACAUUUCAGGAAGCUGGAAAGGAACACUAAAAUGUGUGUACAAAAGAAGGUCCAUAGAACACACAGCA